GGAUUAGAUACCCUGGUAGUCCAUGCCGUAAACGAUGAUUACUAGGUGUUGGGGGAUUGACCCCCUCAGUGCCGCAGUUAACACAAUAAGUAAUCCACCUGGGGAGUACGACCGCAAGGUUGAAACUCAAAGGAAUUGACGGGGGCCCGCACAAGCAGUGGAGUAUGUGGUUUAAUUCGAAGCAACGCGAAGAACCUUACCAGGUCUUGACAUCCGAUGCAUAGCACAGAGAUGUGUGAAAUCCUUCGGGACAUCGAGACAGGUGGUGCAUGGUUGUCGUCAGCUCGUGCC
Molecule: ribosomal RNA, 291 nt
Filed under: uncultured bacterium
Lineage: Bacteria
Description: partial 16S ribosomal RNA
Rfam family: Bacterial small subunit ribosomal RNA
Source: RNAcentral